This 550-nucleotide ribosomal RNA is filed under the name Bacteroidetes bacterium oral taxon 281. RNAcentral's name for it is "bacterial SSU rRNA". It matches the Rfam family "Bacterial small subunit ribosomal RNA", at positions 381 to 930 of the family's 1533-position model. The record is from RNAcentral. Lineage: Bacteria; Pseudomonadati; Bacteroidota.
GCCUGAUCCAGCCAUGCCGCGUGAAGGAAUAAGGUCCUAUGGGUGCUGAAACUUCUUUUGACGCAGAGCAAUAAGGGACACGCGUGUUCCGAUGAGAGUAUGCGUCGAAUAAGCAUCGGCUAACUCCGUGCCAGCAGCCGCGGUAAUACGGAGGAUGCGAGCGUUAUCCGGAUUUAUUGGGUUUAAAGGGUGCGUAGGCUGUUGGAUAAGUCAGCGGUGAAAUCACCACGCUUAACGUGUUGUGUGCCGUUGAAACUGUCUGGCUUGAAUGCGCUCGUCGUGAGAGGAAUGUGUGGUGUAGCGGUGAAAUGCAUAGAUAUCACACAGAACACCGAUUGCGAAGGCAUCUCACGAGGGCGCUAUUGACGCUGAUGCACGAAAGCGCGGGUAUCGAACAGGAUUAGAUACCCUGGUAGUCCGCGCUGUAAACGAUGAUGACUAACCGUUGGUCUGGUAUGGAUCAGUGGUCAAGCGAAUGCGUUAAGUCAUCCACCUGGGGAGUACGGCCGCAAGGCUGAAACUCAAAGGAAUUGACGGGGCCCGCACAAGC